UACGUAGGGUGCAAGCGUUAUCCGGAAUUAUUGGGCGUAAAGAGCUCGUAGGCGGUUUGUCGCGUCUGCUGUGAAAACUGGGGGCUCAACCCCCAGCCUGCAGUGGGUACGGGCAGACUAGAGUGCGGUAGGGGAGAUUGGAAUUCCCGGUGUAGCGGUGAAAUGCGCAGAUAUCGGGAGGAACACCGGUGGCGAAGGCGGUUCUCUGGGCCUUACCUGACACUGAGGAGCGAAAGCGUGGGGAGCGAACAGG
Molecule: ribosomal RNA, 253 nt
Filed under: uncultured bacterium
Lineage: Bacteria
Description: partial 16S ribosomal RNA
Rfam family: Bacterial small subunit ribosomal RNA
Source: RNAcentral